GUGCCAGCAGCCGCGGUAAUACGUAGGGGGCAAGCGUUGUCCGGAUUUAUUGGGCGUAAAGCGCACGCAGGCGGUCUUUUACGUUUUGAGUGACAGGUGGUGGCUCAACUGCCACAGGCCUCGAAAUACGGGAAGACUUGAGGACUUCAGAGGGAUGCGGAAUUCCAGGUGGAGCGGUGAAAUGCGUAGAGAUCUGGAAGAACACCAAAGGCGAAGGCAGCAUCCUGGGAAGGACCUGACGCUAAUGUGCGGAAGCUAGGGGAGCGAACGGGAUUAGAUACCCCAGUAGUCC
Molecule: ribosomal RNA, 292 nt
Filed under: uncultured bacterium
Lineage: Bacteria
Description: partial 16S ribosomal RNA
Rfam family: Bacterial small subunit ribosomal RNA
Source: RNAcentral